UGGGGAAUAUUGGACAAUGGGGGAAACCCUGAUCCAGCGACGCCGCGUGUGUGAAGAAGGCCUGCGGGUUGUAAAGCACUUUCGGUGGGAACGAAAUAUGCCGGGCUAAUACCCCGGUAGGCUGACGUUACUCAAUGAAGAAGCACCGGCUAACUCUGUGCCAGCAGCCGCGGUAAUACAGAGGGUGCGAGCGUUAAUCGGAAUUACUGGGCGUAAAGCGCACGUAGGUGGCGACGUAAGUCGGGUGUGAAAUCCCCGGGCUCAACCUGGGAACCGCAUUCGAGACUGUGUUGCUGGAGUACAGAAGAGGAGGGCGGAAUUCCAAGUGUAGCAGUGAAAUGCGUAGAUAUUUGGAGGAACACCGAUGGCGAAGGCAGCCCCCUGGGCUAACACUGACGCUCAUGCACGAAAGCGUGGGGAGCAAACAGGAUUAGAUACCCGAGUAGUCCCUGAGCGGGCUGGCAAGGCGCAU
RNAcentral lists this ribosomal RNA (472 nucleotides) under uncultured bacterium. RNAcentral's name for it is "bacterial SSU rRNA". It matches the Rfam family "Bacterial small subunit ribosomal RNA", at positions 355 to 825 of the family's 1533-position model. The record is from RNAcentral.